GGGUUGUGAGGUUAAGCGACUAAGCGUACACGGUGGAUGCCCUGGCAGUCAGAGGCGAUGAAGGACGUGCUAAUCUGCGAUAAGCGUCGGUAAGGUGAUAUGAACCGUUAUAACCGGCGAUUUCCGAAUGGGGAAACCCAGUGUGAUUCGUCACACUAUCAUUAACUGAAUCCAUAGGUUAAUGAGGCGAACCGGGGGAACUGAAACAUCUAAGUACCCCGAGGAAAAGAAAUCAACCGAGAUUCCCCCAGUAGCGGCGAGCGAACGGGGAGCAGCCCAGAGCCUGAAUCAGUGUGUGUGUUAGUGGAAGCGUCUGGAAAGGCGCGCGAUACAGGGUGACAGCCCCGUACACAAAAAUGCACAUGCUGUGAGCUCGAUGAGUAGGGCGGGACACGUGGUAUCCUGUCUGAAUAUGGGGGGACCAUCCUCCAAGGCUAAAUACUCCUGACUGACCGAUAGUGAACCAGUACCGUGAGGGAAAGGCGAAAAGAACCCCGGCGAGGGGAGUGAAAAAGAACCUGAAACCGUGUACGUACAAGCAGUGGGAGCACGCUUAGGCGUGUGACUGCGUACCUUUUGUAUAAUGGGUCAGCGACUUAUAUUCUGUAGCAAGGUUAACCGAAUAGGGGAGCCGAAGGGAAACCGAGUCUUAACUGGGCGUUAAGUUGCAGGGUAUAGACCCGAAACCCGGUGAUCUAGCCAUGGGCAGGUUGAAGGUUGGGUAACACUAACUGGAGGACCGAACCGACUAAUGUUGAAAAAUUAGCGGAUGACUUGUGGCUGGGGGUGAAAGGCCAAUCAAACCGGGAGAUAGCUGGUUCUCCCCGAAAGCUAUUUAGGUAGCGCCUCGUGAAUUCAUCUCCGGGGGUAGAGCACUGUUUCGGCAAGGGGGUCAUCCCGACUUACCAACCCGAUGCAAACUGCGAAUACCGGAGAAUGUUAUCACGGGAGACACACGGCGGGUGCUAACGUCCGUCGUGAAGAGGGAAACAACCCAGACCGCCAGCUAAGGUCCCAAAGUCAUGGUUAAGUGGGAAACGAUGUGGGAAGGCCCAGACAGCCAGGAUGUUGGCUUAGAAGCAGCCAUCAUUUAAAGAAAGCGUAAUAGCUCACUGGUCGAGUCGGCCUGCGCGGAAGAUGUAACGGGGCUAAACCAUGCACCGAAGCUGCGGCAGCGACGCUUAUGCGUUGUUGGGUAGGGGAGCGUUCUGUAAGCCUGUGAAGGUGUACUGUGAGGUAUGCUGGAGGUAUCAGAAGUGCGAAUGCUGACAUAAGUAACGAUAAAGCGGGUGAAAAGCCCGCUCGCCGGAAGACCAAGGGUUCCUGUCCAACGUUAAUCGGGGCAGGGUGAGUCGACCCCUAAGGCGAGGCCGAAAGGCGUAGUCGAUGGGAAACAGGUUAAUAUUCCUGUACUUGGUGUUACUGCGAAGGGGGGACGGAGAAGGCUAUGUUGGC
This 1455-nucleotide ribosomal RNA is filed under the name Escherichia coli. Its description in RNAcentral is "partial 23S ribosomal RNA". It matches the Rfam family "Bacterial large subunit ribosomal RNA", at positions 1 to 1491 of the family's 2925-position model. The record is from RNAcentral. Lineage: Bacteria; Pseudomonadati; Pseudomonadota; Gammaproteobacteria; Enterobacterales; Enterobacteriaceae.